RNAcentral lists this ribosomal RNA (475 nucleotides) under uncultured organism. Its description in RNAcentral is "partial 16S ribosomal RNA". It matches the Rfam family "Bacterial small subunit ribosomal RNA", at positions 334 to 800 of the family's 1533-position model. The record is from RNAcentral.
CACUCCUGCGGGAGGCAGCAGUGGGGAAUUUUGGACAAUGGGCGAAAGCCUGAUCCAGCAAUGCCGCGUGAGUGAAGAAGGCCUUCGGGUUGUAAAGCUCUUUUGUCAGGGAAGAAACGGUGAAAGCUAAUAUCUUUUGCUAAUGACGGUACCUGAAGAAUAAGCACCGGCUAACUACGUGCCAGCAGCCGCGGUAAUACGUAGGGUGCAAGCGUUAAUCGGAAUUACUGGGCGUAAAGCGUGCGCAGGCGGUUUUGUAAGUCUGAUGUGAAAUCCCCGGGCUCAACCUGGGAAUUGCAUUGGAGACUGCAAGGCUAGAAUCUGGCAGAGGGGGGUAGAAUUCCACGUGUAGCAGUGAAAUGCGUAGAUAUGUGGAGGAACACCGAUGGCGAAGGCAGCCCCCUGGGUCAAGAUUGACGCUCAUGCACGAAAGCGUGGGGAGCAAACAGGAUUAGAAACCCCGGUAGUCCCAUGA